ACGGAGGGUGCAAGCGUUAUCCGGAUUUACUGGGUUUAAAGGGUGCGCAGGCGGGAGAUUAAGUCAGAGGUGAAAGCCCCGAGCUCAACUUGGGAAAUGCCUUUGAAACUGAUCUUCUUGAAUAUAGUUGAGGUAGGCGGAAUACAACAUGUAGCGGUGAAAUGCAUAGAUAUGUUGUAGAACACCAAUUGCGAAGGCAGCUUACUAAACUAUUAUUGACGCUGAGGCACGAAAGCGUGGGGAGCGAACAGG
RNAcentral lists this ribosomal RNA (252 nucleotides) under uncultured bacterium. RNAcentral describes it as "partial 16S ribosomal RNA". It matches the Rfam family "Bacterial small subunit ribosomal RNA", at positions 525 to 776 of the family's 1533-position model. The record is from RNAcentral.